GUGCCUUAAACUAAUGAGUAAGGAAAAUAAACGAGCCUUGGUGACGCUUGGCUUACAUACUAGAACAAACUAGUCGAUAUAUUUUUGUAGGGGUAAAGGUCGUCCCGUGGAGAACUGCAUACUUUCGCAGCUUUCCUGGUGAUUAGCGAUCUGCCUC
Molecule: small nuclear RNA, 157 nt
Organism: Diorhabda sublineata
Lineage: Eukaryota; Metazoa; Arthropoda; Insecta; Coleoptera; Chrysomelidae
Product: U12 minor spliceosomal RNA
Exons: 1
Source: RefSeq, a predicted model, not a curated record